This 397-nucleotide ribosomal RNA is filed under the name uncultured bacterium. RNAcentral's name for it is "partial 16S ribosomal RNA". It matches the Rfam family "Bacterial small subunit ribosomal RNA", at positions 523 to 918 of the family's 1533-position model. The record is from RNAcentral.
AUACGUAGGGGGCGAGCGUUGUCCGGAAUGAUUGGGCGUAAAGGGCGCGUAGGCGGCCCGGUAAGUCUGGAGUGAAAGUCCUGUUUUUAAGAUGGGAAUUGCUUUGGAUACUGUCGGGCUUGAGUGCAGGAGAGGUAAGUGGAAUUCCCAGUGUAGCGGUGAAAUGCGUAGAGAUUGGGAGGAACACCAGUGGCGAAGGCGACUUACUGGACUGUAACUGACGCUGAGGCGCGAAAGUGUGGGGAGCAAACAGGAUUAGAUACCCGGGUAGUCCACACUGUAAACGAUGAAUGCUAUGUGUAGGGGGUAUCGACCCCGUCUGUGCCGCAGGCAACACAAUAAGCAUUCCGCCUGGGGAGUACGGCCGCAAGGUUGAAACUUAAACGAAUUGACGGGU